This 321-nucleotide ribosomal RNA is filed under the name Triticum aestivum (bread wheat). Its description in RNAcentral is "partial small subunit ribosomal RNA". Lineage: Eukaryota; Viridiplantae; Streptophyta; Magnoliopsida; Poales; Poaceae. The record is from RNAcentral.
AUGAGGUUCUCAACGUCAUUGCAGCAGGUUGUACUUCUGAAUGGCUGUACCAGAGAAGCCUGCAGGAGUCCUUUUCAGGCAGGAUUCUGUUGGAAAGCGGUGCGAUCCCUGGAUGCUGAAGCUGCCGCUACACAAAUGAGGGCUUUAACAUACGCACUCGGCAUACCGUUGUGUGUCGAAGUCGUGGACAAGAGCUUGACGGAUAAGGGUGUCUUAGUGAAGCGCCUCGAUUUCUUCAAUGAGACAGAGUGGGAGAAGGGCCCUCUCUGUUUGACUCGGAGCUACCUUUCUUCGAGCACAGCUCCUAUACCGCUGGAGUAG